GGAGAGAUGGCCGAGAGGUCGAAGGCGGCAGAUUUGAAAUCUGUUGUGCGGGCGACCGCACCGGGGGUUCGAAUCCCUCUCUCUCCG
RNAcentral lists this transfer RNA (87 nucleotides) under Deltaproteobacteria bacterium. RNAcentral describes it as "tRNA-Ser". It matches the Rfam family "tRNA". Rfam says of the family: Transfer RNA (tRNA) molecules are approximately 80 nucleotides in length. Lineage: Bacteria; Pseudomonadati; Myxococcota; Myxococcia. The record is from RNAcentral.